Molecule: ribosomal RNA, 253 nt
Filed under: uncultured bacterium
Lineage: Bacteria
Description: partial 16S ribosomal RNA
Rfam family: Bacterial small subunit ribosomal RNA
Source: RNAcentral
UACGAAGGGAGCUAGCGUUGUUCGGAAUUACUGGGCGUAAAGGGCGUGUAGGCGGUCUUAUAAGUCAGAUGUGAAAGCCCCAGGCUUAACCUGGGAGGUGCAUUUGAGACUGUAAGACUAGAGAUCGAGAGAGGAAAGUGGAAUUACGAGUGUAGAGGUGAAAUUCGUAGAUAUUCGGAAGAACACCAGUGGCGAAGGCGACUCACUGGCCCGUUACUGACGCUGAGGCGCGAAAGCGUGGGGAGCAAACAGG